RNAcentral lists this unclassified non-coding RNA (520 nucleotides) under uncultured Scutellospora. RNAcentral's name for it is "SSU rRNA". It matches the Rfam family "Eukaryotic small subunit ribosomal RNA", at positions 569 to 1093 of the family's 1831-position model. Lineage: Eukaryota; Fungi; Glomeromycota; Glomeromycetes; Diversisporales; Gigasporaceae. The record is from RNAcentral.
AGCAGCCGCGGUAAUUCCAGCUCCAAUAGCGUAUAUUAAAGUUGUUGCAGUUAAAAAGCUCGUAGUUGAAUUUCGGGGUUCUACCGUCGGUCGGGCUACCAAGUCUGUACUGGUGUGUAGAAUCCCUACCUUCUGGGGAACUAUCAUGUUAUUAAUUUAGCGUGGUGGGAAACCAGGACCUUUACCUUGAAAAAAUUAGAGUGUUCAAAGCAGGCUUAUGUCUGAAUACAUUAGCAUGGAAUAAUAGAAUAGGACGGUGGUCCUGUUUUGUUGGUUUCUGAAUCACCGUAAUGAUUAAUAGGGAUAGUUGGGGGCAUUAGUAUUCAAUUGUCAGAGGUGAAAUUCUUGAAUUUAUUGAAGACUAACUUCUGCGAAAGCAUUUGCCAAGGAUGUUUUCAUUAAUCAAGAACGAAAGUUAGGGGAUCGAAGACGAUCAGAUACCGUCGUAGUCUUAACCAUAAACUAUGCCGACUAGGGAUCGGACGAUGUUAAAUUUAUUGACUCGUUCGGCGCCUUACGG